This 335-nucleotide ribosomal RNA is filed under the name Rosa environmental sample. RNAcentral's name for it is "eukaryotic LSU rRNA". The stretch from base 1 to 84 matches the Rfam family "5.8S ribosomal RNA", at positions 73 to 154 of the family's 154-position model. The record is from RNAcentral. Lineage: Eukaryota; Viridiplantae; Streptophyta; Magnoliopsida; Rosales; Rosaceae.
UGCAGAAUCCCGUGAACCAUCGAGUCUUUGAACGCAAGUUGCGCCCGAAGCCAUUAGGCCGAGGGCACGUCUGCCUGGGCGUCACACGUCGUUGCCCCCCCCAAACCCCCUCGGGAGUUGGAUGGGACGGAUGAUGGCCUUCCCGUGUGCUCAGUCACGCGGUUGGCAUAAAUACCAAGUCCUCGGCGACCAACGCCACGACAAUCGGUGGUUGUCAAACCUCGGUUUCCUGUCGUGCGCGCGUGUUGAUCGAGUGCUUUCUUAAACAAUGCGUGUCGAUCCGUCGAUGCUUUCAACGCGACCCCAGGUCAGGCGGGGUUACCCGCUGAAUUUAA